AAACGAAAAUCAAAUCUCAGAGGAGAGAGAAAGAGGAGAAAAAAAUGGGGUGUUUCUCUUGCUUCGAUGGUGGAAACAAAGAACAGCGAAAGGAGGAAGAAAGAUUGGCCUCUGCCGAAGCUCGUGCCAAAGCCGCUGAGGCUGCUCAGAAAAGGCAAGAGCAGUUUGAACAGUCAGCUGCAGGAAGAGCUGCACGUGCACAGAUGCAAGCGGCCGCAAAGCAGUCAGCAAACUCUAAUAAUGGCGAACCUGUUUUGAAGUGGCAGAUGGGUUGAAGUUGAAGUUUUGCUUUUUCUCUAUUCAGCCUAAAUUGCUCAUGUAUAUAUGGAAAUAAAAUUUAACGCUACCAUAGUUUCCAAGUUGUGAGUUCCUCUUGUCAAAUAAGUGAUACAGUAAAAAUGCACCGACUGUCCAUUCUUUGUUCUCAAUUUUCAGUUGUAAUGUAUGAUAAAUCCAAGAAGAAGUUGAAACUGUAAUCUUAAGUUUUUGCUUUGUUCUGUUCCAUAUCAACCUCUACGUAUCCAGCUUCUUGAUUUCCUU
RNA transcript from Hibiscus syriacus, 540 nucleotides. RefSeq lists it as uncharacterized. The record is from RefSeq and is a predicted model, not a curated record. The transcript has 4 exons. Lineage: Eukaryota; Viridiplantae; Streptophyta; Magnoliopsida; Malvales; Malvaceae.